CUCUCCCUCUCUGCCUCUGUAGGGCCACAUGCAGUGCAUUUCUGCCAGCCUGUAAGCAGACUGGUUUAUGAUUUGAACAGAAAAGUUGUACUUAAGAAGAAAAAAGCUUCAGCAGUGUGGCAUUAGCCCUCUUCAUUAGAUCUCUGUGUGUUGGAUGCAUGGCUCUGGCAUGUCACCACCUCACCUGAUCAGCUCACACCCCAAGUCCUGCCCCAGUGAGACCGGCUGGCCAACUGUGAUGGCAACACGGCUAAAGUUUGCAUAUGAGGAUGGCAUCAGCCAAGCCAGGCAAGAGCCCUUUGGAGAGGUGCUGUGUGACAGGGAGGCUGUCGGAGGCAGAAGUGUUUGCAUGGGAUGGAGCCUGCAACUACCGUAACCGUCCCUGUGGCAAGAACACCCACAGAAACAGGUAAUUU
Molecule: long non-coding RNA, 416 nt
Organism: Passer domesticus (house sparrow)
Lineage: Eukaryota; Metazoa; Chordata; Aves; Passeriformes; Passeridae
Exons: 3
Source: RefSeq, a predicted model, not a curated record